GUCCUUGGGAAGGUUGUCUCAGACAAGCAAAGGAAUUAAUCUUAAGGUGUGCAGUAAGAGCCUGAACAAGUCCAAUUGUGACUGUGCUUUUCCCUUCUCCUAGGGGUGUAGGGGUUAUUCCAGCAACUAGAACAUAUUUUCCAUCUGGUUGAUCCUUUAACCUUUCCAGCAGGGACAAACGUACUUUGGCUUUGGUUUGGCCAUAGAUUUCAAUUUCAUCUGUAAGCAAUCCUAUCUCCUUGGCAAGUACAUCAACAGCUUUUGGAC
This 267-nucleotide long non-coding RNA is filed under the name Gallus gallus (chicken). Lineage: Eukaryota; Metazoa; Chordata; Aves; Galliformes; Phasianidae. The record is from RNAcentral.